UUCCGAGGUAAGGAAUUCUUCGAGCGAGACCCUGCACUGUGACCAAUAAUUUGGCAGUACCAACCAAAUCAGAGUGAUAAUGUGCGGAGGGCAUAUUUGUCGUUAGGCCCCAUGCAACCAAAACUCAAACAUUAUAGAGCUUCUGGUAAAAAAGGCCAUCAGCGUCGCUUCCAAUGUAAGUGGUUUGAUAGUUUCCCAUCAUGGCUAGAGUACUCAGAGGAUAGUCAUCGCGCAUACUGUUUACUCUGCUUUGUUUCUAGCAGAAAUAUCAGCAAAAGGAGGCUUGAUGUAUUCACAGUACAUGGAGUUGAUAACUGGAAAAGGGUGAAUGAUGGAAAAUAUUGUGCACUCUUAGGCCAUGAAGGUUCUACGCCAUGCUCACCACACAACAAUGCAGUCAUAGAACGUCAAGUAUUGUUGAACCAGGCAGGUCAUUUAGAAAAUGUUGUAGCAGCAAAGGGCCUUCUCGCAGAGUUCAAUCCUGAUCUUACCAAAGUCAUUUUGGGGAAUUCUCCAUACAACUCAAAGUACACAUCUCCAGAUAUUCAAAAGGAAAUCUUGUCCAUAUAUGCAUCUAAAGUUAGGAGACAUAUCCGUGAAGAAAUUAGGGAUUCCAAAUUAUCUAUUCUGGUGGAUGAGACAUGUGACGUGGCUAAAAGAGAACAAAUGGCAUUGGUUUUCAGAUUUGUUGAUAAAGCUGGCUUUUCACAAGAGUGGUUCUUUGAUUUGAUACAUGCGGCCAACACCAAGUCCAUGACACUGAAAGAUAAGUUGUGCUCUGCAUUAUCAUUAAAUGGUUUUGAUAUUCAGAAUCUUCGUGGACAAGGAUACGAUGGGGCUAGCAACAUGAGAGGAGAGCUGAAUGGGUUGCAGUCUCAUUUUCUCAAGGUAUGCCCAUAUGCAUACUAUGUUCAUUGUUAUGCUCACAGAUUGCAGCUAGCACUAGUAGAUGCAUCCAAAGAGGUGGUUCCUGUUGCCCAGUUUUUUCAGAAAUUGAUCUUCAUUAUUAACACCGUCGACUCCUCAUCAAAAUGCCAUGAUGAGCUCCAUGAUGCCCAGUUGGUAGAACUAGCACGUAUGAUAGAAAAUGGAAGCAUUCAGACUAGUCAAGGGGCAAAUCAGAUUCAAUCACUUAAAAGACCCGGGGACAGUAGGUGGGGUUCUCCGUUUGGUUCUAUUCAUAGCCUUAUGAAGUUGUUUAAUGUGGUAAAUUUUGUUAUCCAAGAUAUGGCUUCAGAUGGAUCAGUAGUGGGAUCAAUACGUGCUGAUGCUGACACUUCUUUCAGCUAUUUGUCCUCGUUCGAGUUUGUCAUUAUCUUAUGUAUGAUGAAGGAGAUAUUAGGGAUAACUGAAGGACUUGGUCAGGCUUUACAAAAGAGGUCACAAGACAUUGUAAAUGUUGUUCGUCUAGUGUUUGCAACAAAAGAGUGUCUUCAUCAGUUGAGAUCGGACAAAGGCUGGGAGGAAUUCUUUUGCAUAGUUGUUGAAUUUUGUGUGAAUCAUGGCACUGAAAUUCCAGACAUGAAGGAAACUUAUAUCAUGCGUGGUGGCUAUGCACGGCAUCAGCCUGAUCAUUUCACUAAGGAGCAAUAUUUUUGAGUCGAGAUAUUCCGUGCAACUCUUGAUAGCCAACUACAUGAAUUGGAUUGGAGGUUCAAUGAGAAUGAGAAGAUGAUGGAUCUUCUGUCCACCAGUGCCACAUUAAUUCCUAGAAAUAAAUUUAAAUCUUUUAAAGGUACUAGUGCUGAACAAGCAUUUUCCAGUUUGAAGAUCAUCAAAACAAGGCUGCAUAAUACGAUGGAAGAUGAGAAUCUUGCCAAUAACUUGGUUGUUCACAUAGAGCAUGAAAUCACAGAGAAAUACACGUUUGAGGACAUUUUAGCAGAAUUCAAGAGCAUAAGUGAUCGAAAAGCUGAUCUGUAG
Molecule: ribosomal RNA, 1923 nt
Filed under: Triticum aestivum (bread wheat)
Lineage: Eukaryota; Viridiplantae; Streptophyta; Magnoliopsida; Poales; Poaceae
Description: partial small subunit ribosomal RNA
Source: RNAcentral